AUGAUCAACACCAGGAAGGAUAGAUCUAUUGCAGCUUUCAUUCAGGAGUUAAACCAGCACAUUCGUCGCCAGGAGGACCAGAUGUGCGCAGACAUGAUAGAUCUGAAGAAGGCAAAGACUAGGAUCAUGGAACUGGAGGAAGAACUCAAGGCUACACGCGAGGAUUAUAUGGAGGAAAUCGUCGCACUAGUGGAGAAGAAUGGCGACCUGACACAGAAGCUAGGAGUUUACAUGUUCCAUGUGCUAACCCGUUUUCGGGCUGCAACGUAUCAUGUUGCAGACUUUUCAGACGACGAGUAA
RNAcentral lists this ribosomal RNA (300 nucleotides) under Triticum aestivum (bread wheat). RNAcentral's name for it is "partial small subunit ribosomal RNA". Lineage: Eukaryota; Viridiplantae; Streptophyta; Magnoliopsida; Poales; Poaceae. The record is from RNAcentral.